This 61-nucleotide small nuclear RNA is filed under the name Trypanosoma cruzi. RNAcentral's name for it is "small nuclear RNA (snRNA) U1". Lineage: Eukaryota; Euglenozoa; Kinetoplastea; Trypanosomatida; Trypanosomatidae. The record is from RNAcentral.
GAUCCCGCGCAAAAUUUACUGCGAACUUGGCGCUUUCUUGAUGACGCACUGCAGGUGAGUU